UACGGAGGAUGCGAGCGUUAUCCGGAUUUAUUGGGUUUAAAGGGUGCGUAGGCGGGCUUUUAAGUCAGCGGUAAAAAUUCGGGGCUCAACCCCGUCCGGCCGUUGAAACUGGGGGCCUUGAGUGGGCGAGAGGAAGGCGGAAUGCGUGGUGUAGCGGUGAAAUGCAUAGAUAUCACGCAGAGCCCCGAUUGCGAAGGCAGCCUUCCGGCGCCCUACUGACGCUGAGGCACGAAAGUGCGGGGAUCGAACAGG
Molecule: ribosomal RNA, 252 nt
Filed under: uncultured bacterium
Lineage: Bacteria
Description: partial 16S ribosomal RNA
Rfam family: Bacterial small subunit ribosomal RNA
Source: RNAcentral